UGAGGAAUAUUGGUCAAUGGGCGGAAGCCUGAACCAGCCAUGCCGCGUGCAGGAAGACGGCUCUAUGAGUUGUAAACUGCUUUUGUACUAGGGUAAUAGCGGGUACGUGUACUCGUAUGAAAGUAUAGUACGAAUAAGGAUCGGCUAACUCCGUGCCAGCAGCCGCGGUAAUACGGAGGAUCCAAGCGUUAUCCGGAUUUAUUGGGUUUAAAGGGUGCGUAGGCGGCAGAUUAAGUUAGAGGUGAAAUCCCGUAGCUUAACUACGGAACUGCCUCUGAUACUGAUUUGCUAGCGAGUGGAUGCUGUAGGCGGAAUGUGUGGUGUAGCGGUGAAAUGCGUAGAUAUCACACAGAACACCGAUUGCGAAGGCAGCUUACAAAUCCAUAUCGGACGCUGAGGCACGAAAGCGUGGGGAGCAAACAGG
RNAcentral lists this ribosomal RNA (424 nucleotides) under uncultured Alistipes sp. Its description in RNAcentral is "bacterial SSU rRNA". It matches the Rfam family "Bacterial small subunit ribosomal RNA", at positions 355 to 776 of the family's 1533-position model. Lineage: Bacteria; Pseudomonadati; Bacteroidota; Bacteroidia; Bacteroidales; Rikenellaceae. The record is from RNAcentral.